UACGGAGGGGGCUAGCGUUGUUCGGAAUUACUGGGCGUAAAGGGCGCGUAGGCGGCCUUCUAAGUCGAACGUGAAAUCCCCGGGCUCAACCCGGGAACUGCGUCCGAUACUGGAAGGCUUGAAUCCGGGAGAGGGAUGCGGAAUUCCAGGUGUAGCGGUGAAAUGCGUAGAUAUCUGGAGGAACACCGGUGGCGAAGGCGGCAUCCUGGACCGGUAUUGACGCUGAGGCGCGAAAGCCAGGGGAGCAAACGGG
This 253-nucleotide ribosomal RNA is filed under the name uncultured bacterium. RNAcentral describes it as "partial 16S ribosomal RNA". It matches the Rfam family "Bacterial small subunit ribosomal RNA", at positions 524 to 776 of the family's 1533-position model. The record is from RNAcentral.